AAAAUGCUUUGCAGAGCCUCGUAAAUGAGCAUUCAGCAAGCUGCUGUGGAGACCUCAGCACCAACUGGAGCACAGCCCUCCCACAUUUCUCCUUCACCCCCGCCUCCUCGGGUGGGCGUGCACCUGCUAAAGCUUUACGAUACAUCACAGAGCGAGGAGAGAGGGAGAACAACAGCCCCAAUUACAUGGGCAGCUUUUCUCUCUCUAAACAGAAGAACUAGCUGGACUGGAAGCUGGAUUUAUCCAAUGUCACUUGGAGAAAGAAAGAGAGAAGGCAAAGAAAGCUUCAGAGGAGAGCAGAGAUGAACAACAAGUUGAUACACUGACAGUAAGAACAUAAUUAUAAAAAUAGUUGUCAACCUCUGAGUCCCUACACUUAAAAUGCGCCAGGUAUUGUAAGUGUCAUUCUAAACCCCAUGAUAACCCUUUGCAGUGGGCAUUAUUAUCCUUUCCUUUUUUUUUUUCCUUGAGGAGACUGGGACUCAGAGAAGUUAGGUGAUUUUCCUCAAACUAGAGAACUCGUAAGCGGGAGCUGAGAUGAGAAUUCUGGUCCUCUGAUUCUAAAUCCCAAAUUCACUCUUCUAAGCUAUUUCCCAAAGUGGGAGAUCGUUUUAAAGAGGAAGCUCUACCAACAUCAAAUCACCUCUGGCCAGUAUCAUCCGCUAAUAUCAUCAGCAAAUGGCACUAAUACAACUCCUGAAUUCUAAGAGUCACUUUCCCCUCGACAUUUCAAAAUUUCUGAAACUGGAUUGUAACUUCCACCUGACUGUACAUUCAACGUCUUUCUUUUUCCUUCUUCAAUGCAUCUCACACCUGAUUUCUCCUUGGAAUUGAGUAAAUAUAAUGCUCACAGGGGAAUUAGGGCCAGUCAAAAUUUUAGAAGUAUGUCCCCAAAUAUACACCUCUCUACAUAUCAUUGGCUUUGAAGUCAUUUCUCUUUU
RNAcentral lists this long non-coding RNA (941 nucleotides) under Equus caballus (horse). Its description in RNAcentral is "lncRNA (ENSECAG00000058494.1)". The record is from RNAcentral. Lineage: Eukaryota; Metazoa; Chordata; Mammalia; Perissodactyla; Equidae.